CCUACGGGUGGCUGCAGUCGAGAAUCAUUCACAAUGGGGGAAACCCUGAUGGUGCGACGCCGCGUGGGGGAAUGCAGGUCUUCGGGUUGUAAACCCCUGUCAUGUGGGAGCAAAUUAAAAAGAUAGUACCACAAGAGGAAGAGACGGCUAACUCUGUGCCAGCAGCCGCGGUAAUACAGAGGUCUCAAGCGUUGUUCGGAAUCACUGGGCGUAAAGCGUGCGUAGGCUGUUUCGUAAGUCGUGUGUGAAAGGCGCGGGCUCAACCCGCGGACGGCACAUGAUACUGCGAGACUAGAGUAAGGGAGGGGGAACCGGAAUUCUCGGUGUAGGAGGGAAAGGAGUAGAUAGUGAGAGGAACACUCGUGGCGAAGGCGGGUUCCUGGACAUUAAAUGACGCGGAGGCACGAAGGCCAGGGGAGCGAAAGGGAUUAGAUACCCUGGUAGUC
This 446-nucleotide ribosomal RNA is filed under the name uncultured bacterium. Its description in RNAcentral is "partial 16S ribosomal RNA". It matches the Rfam family "Bacterial small subunit ribosomal RNA", at positions 338 to 795 of the family's 1533-position model. The record is from RNAcentral.